Molecule: small nuclear RNA, 106 nt
Organism: Microtus ochrogaster (prairie vole)
Lineage: Eukaryota; Metazoa; Chordata; Mammalia; Rodentia; Cricetidae
Source: Ensembl
AUGCUUCUUUUGGCAGCACAUAUACUAAAAUUGUAAUGAUACAGAGAAGAUUUUCAUGAAUCUAAGCAAAAAUGACAUACAAAUUAAUGAUACAUUCCCUAAUUUU